UUCAUAGGAAGUGCAGCCAGAGGAAGACUGAGUUUCCUUGUGUUGGUUUAGACCUGCUGUAAAUGCCUAAGUCCUGUUGGCCAGAUUUGGACCCGUUACACUAGGAAUGGUACCUGCAGGUCUGACCCCUGCCUCCUUUCUGCUUUGAUCUGUGGCAACUGAAAAGAUUGUAUGGGAGGAAAAACACAGAUCCUGUCUCUGGUUCCUGAGUUAUUGCUGUAACAUUUCCAUCUGGAACACAGCUUGAGCACGAGAAACAUUGCUCUGAGGCAGCAGCCAGGUGUAUCACUAUAAAGGUAGUGACAUCUCAGGUGUGAUGGUUCACAGCGAACAGUUUGGACAGCUGUAUGGACCACUCCUCCACCAACCCUGUGAUGCUCUUCUGUGAAACUGUGCCACCUCUUACACACUGGUCAGUCCCUCUCUUCUGACCCAUCUUGAUGUCCCUCUGCCAUUUUUACCUGCGCUGAAAAUGUUGGUCUUCUCUGCCUCUGGGUGAUUUCAAGGUGGCAGAGCAGCACGCUCGGUUCACAGGGACACAUUGGUUUUGUUCUCCAACUUCCUGAUAUCUCUCCCAGUUUCGACAUUCCUCAGUAUUUGGAGCAUCAUCUCCACAUAGAUGAUACGACUGGUCAUACAAGAUGUGUCUUGAGGAAUGGCAUCUCCCUCGGACACAUCAGAACCUCCUUGGCACGCAGCGGGACAUCAGGAAGCAGCCUGAAACCAGCCUGAAACUUGGGACUCUUCCAAAAUUUGGACA
This 760-nucleotide long non-coding RNA is filed under the name Calidris pugnax (ruff). Its description in RNAcentral is "lncRNA (ENSCPUG00000016417.1)". Lineage: Eukaryota; Metazoa; Chordata; Aves; Charadriiformes; Scolopacidae. The record is from RNAcentral.